This 442-nucleotide ribosomal RNA is filed under the name uncultured bacterium. RNAcentral describes it as "partial 16S ribosomal RNA". It matches the Rfam family "Bacterial small subunit ribosomal RNA", at positions 338 to 795 of the family's 1533-position model. The record is from RNAcentral.
CCUACGGAGGCUGCAGUGGGGAAUAUUGGACAACGGGGGGAACCCUGAUCCAGCGACGCCGCGUGAGUGAAGAAGUAUUUCGGUAUGUAAAGCUCUAUCAGCAGGGAAGAAAGGAAUGACGGUACCUGACUAAGACGCCCCGGCUAACUACGUGCCAGCAGCCGCGGUAAUACGUAGGGGGCAAGCGUGAUCCGGAUUUACUGGGUGUAAAGGGAGCGUAGACGGUUACGCAAGUCUGGAGUGAAAGGCGGGGGCCCAACCCCCGGACUGCUUUGGAAACUGUAUAACUGGAGUGCAGGGGAGGUAAGUGGAAUUCCUAGUGUAGCGGUGAAAUGCGUAGAUAUUAGGAGGAACACCAGUGGCGAAGGCGGCUUACUGGACUGUAACUGACGUUGAGGCUCGAAAGCGUGGGGAGCAAACAGGAUUAGAUACCCGAGUAGUC